This 775-nucleotide long non-coding RNA is filed under the name Amborella trichopoda. RNAcentral describes it as "long non-coding RNA (ATRI_LNC004312)". The record is from RNAcentral. Lineage: Eukaryota; Viridiplantae; Streptophyta; Magnoliopsida; Amborellales; Amborellaceae.
UUUCUAUACUUCUAGAGUUCCUCAAGAGCUUUAUCUUUAAGCACAAGUAGUCUUGUAUUUUAUCCUGAAGAACCGUCAUCGGAUGCACAUAAAACUUAAUCCAUCUGACAAAAAAUUCAUCAAAAAAUACAAUCAGUUGCUAACCAUUUCUUGCAAUCCAUUCUUGUCUUGAGUUUGACAAGACCCCUAAUCUCCAUAUCAAAACAUAUAAUCAUUAGCCAUGAUUCAAGGUGAAAAGACAUUUCUCAUAUUCAAAUUCGGAUGAAAGGGAGCGACUCGCUAUAGUCACACAGAGAGAGAGAGAGAGAGAGAGAGAGGUGGAGGUGUAUGCAAGGUGAAUAUUCAAACUAAGAAGAGUAGGACCCAUAUAUUAAACCACAAGCGAGAAUACACACAGAGAACAUACAUAUAUGCAAUUUCGAAUUAAACACUCACACAUACAGAUUUCAUAUGGUGUGGCACAUGUUACCUCUCCUUACUUCUCUUCAUAAAGCUCAUUUGCAGCGCUGUAUGAAUAUCUUAUUGUGCUCAGGUUCGUGGAUUCUCCAUCUCUUCCCUCCAUCCCUUUUUGUGAGCUUCUCAUUGAACUUUCAUUGUUUCUCUCUAAACCUCCAUUACUCCAAGUUUUUAGGACUCUGCUCAAUCUCUCUCUCUUCCCUCUAAACCUUCAUAAAUUCGAGGCUGCAGGACACUUCUCAAUCUCACUCUUCUGAGAGCCACAAACCAAACCAGGAACAAUUCCACCCAAGCUUGCUUUCUGCCUGAAAUAGGAAAC